CCUGCCACUCAUAACUCAGACAAGCAGAUGAUUUUAUAUCCGAGAAAAUAAAUAGGUGUGUUCCCCUAGACAUCCCAAAUUUAAUAAAACAUUGAAGUUGUCUUUGUCUUAUCAUAAAUUUAUACUCCACUACUCUCGACAACACGCACACAAUACACGAUCGUCGUCAGAUCACCCAUAGACAAGUGUUGGGUGUUCUUAUCCGCGUAAUCCCCUUUCGCGCGCCACGACUGAAGCGACUACACUCUCACCUACCGGGUUGAAACAAGUGCACAUUAGACGGGUGUCAUGUGCAAAUGGACAAAACUCAACAGCAGAAGGCCGAUCGAGGUUCUAGCACAACCACACUAGUAGCCAACACUAAUACUCGCAGUGCUCCACCGUGAAACUGUUAUCUCUACAAUCACGCGACUGUGUAAUCCCGCGGGAGAGAGUGAGCUACCGAAGCCGAUUGCGAACCGAUAUAGGCGUGGGGCGCACUAACAUCGACAUCAGUUACCAGUUGAAAGUCAAGCAGACCGGUUCUUCGUUCUGGAGGCCCACGAGACUCGUCCGGAGAAGUGUGCAAAUUAGGAGUCUGACUGGUAGCGUGGCUGGCCUAAGAAGGCCAAUACUUGAUCUGCGGCACUGUGUUUAACAGCCACGAGGCCACAGUGGGCAGUGAUAGUCGCAACAUCGAACGCAGUUUGCACCGCAUGUGCAGGGAGAACAACUACUGCCUGUGUGUAACUACAAUGGAGCUUGUCGAGUAGAUUGAAUCGACACAGGAGAUCGGCCUUCUAUUCUAUCCAUAUUCAACUCUAAUUUCACCAUGUCGGCUGGAGCCGUGAUGCUGUGGAACGUGUCGUGGUUGGCGUCCUGCUACGGUAAUACGGCGUGGAACGCUGGGGAUGACCGGUGUUGGGCACUGGUCACCGUCGCGGAUUUUGCCCGGGCAGUUCAUCGAAGAAGCCGCAGCCGCCGUGGGAUACACGUCACACACACACACUCCCCACACCUAGAUUAGGCCCGCCAACCAGGGUCGUGCACAG
Culex pipiens pallens (northern house mosquito) is the source of this 1031-nucleotide long non-coding RNA. RefSeq lists it as uncharacterized. The transcript has 4 exons. NCBI's taxonomy places the organism in Eukaryota, Metazoa, Arthropoda, Insecta, Diptera, Culicidae. The record is from RefSeq and is a predicted model, not a curated record.